UGAAUACGAGACGCUAAGGCGUCGAAGUAGUGUAUGUCAUACUUCCAAAAAAAGCUUGCACUGUCAUAGAUAAAAAACGCCUGUACCAUAACCGACACAGGUGGGUAGGUAGAGUAUACUAAGGGGCGCGAGAUAACUCUCUCUAAGGAACUCGGCAAAAUAACUCCGUAACUUCGGGAGAAGGAGUGCCUUAUUCUUAAGGUUGCAAUAACAAGAUCCAAGCAACUGUUUAUCAAAAACACAGGUCUCCGCUAAGUCGUAAGACGAUGUAUGGGGGCUGACGCCUGCCCAGUGCCAGAAGGUUAAAGAAGCUGGUUAGCAUUUGCGAAGCUAGUAACUGAAGCCCUGGUGAACGGCGGCCGUAACAAUAACGGUCCUAAGGUAGCGAAAUUCCUUGUCGGGUAAGUUCCGACCCGCACGAAAGGCGUAACGAUUUGGAUACUGUCUCGGAGAGGGGCUCGGUGAAAUAGACUUGUCUGUGAAGAUGCGGACUACCUGCACCAGGACAGAAAGACCCUAUGAAGCUUUACUGUAACUUGAAAUUGAAAUUGGACUUUAUUCGCGCAGUAUAGGUGGGAGGCGUUGAUUAUAAUCUUGCGGGAUUAUUGGAGCCAUUAGUGAGAUACCACUCUUGUAAUGUUAGAUUUCUAACUUUGAAUCAUUAUCUGGUCAAAGAACAGUUUCAGGCGGGCAGUUUGACUGGGGCGGUCGCCUCCCAAACGGUAACGGAGGCGUACAAAGGUUUCCUCUGAACGGUUAGAAAUCGUAUCUAGAGUGUAAAGGCAUAAGGAAGCUUGACUGUGAGACCUACAAGUCGAGCAGGGACGAAAGUCGGUCUUAGUGAUCUGACGGUACUGAGUGGAAAGGCCGUCACUCAACGGAUAAAAGUUACUCUAGGAUAACAGGCUGAUCUCCCCCAAGAGUUCACAUCGACGGGGAGGUUUGGCACCUCGAUGUCGGCUCAUCGCAUCCUGGGGCGGUAGUACGUCCCAAGGGUUGGGCUGUUCGCCCAUGAAAGCGGUACGCGAGCUGGGUUCAGAACGUCGUGAGACAGUUCGGUCCAUAUCCGGUGUAGGCGUUAGAAUAUUGAGAGGAGCCUUCUUUAGUACGAGAGGACCGAGAAGGACAUACCUCUGGUGUACCAGUUAUCGUGCCAACGGUAGACGCUGGGUAGCUAUGUAUGGAGUGGAUAACCGCUGAAAGCAUCUAAGUGGGAAGCCCACCUCAAGAUAAGUAUUCUCAUG
Molecule: ribosomal RNA, 1244 nt
Filed under: metagenome
Description: bacterial LSU rRNA
Rfam family: Bacterial large subunit ribosomal RNA
Source: RNAcentral